CAGGGAAGAAAAAAGACAGCAAAAAAUCGAGGUUGGACUUGCCUGAAAUUUGCUCAAGAAGCGAGUUACAUAUAAAAAAGCAAUGGACAAGUUCCCGUUCCGAUAUUUAGAUUGUCUUCCAAACAAAAGUCGGUGUUGUUCAACUGGGUGGCAUCAAAAGUGAAGUUCCCCGAUGUGUAUGUUUCAAAUCUAUCUAGAUGUGUUGAAAAGGGUCAAAAGUUCUCCGGGAUGAAGAGUCAUGAUUGUCAUGUCUUUAUGCAACGACUACUUCCCUUUGCAUUUGUGGAGCUACUUCCAACAAAUGUACAUGAAGCACUUGCUGGUAAUAUAUUACGCAUUAACUUCUUUAUUACUUUAUAAUAUGCACAAAUAAAUAAUAUGACUAAUAAUUUGUUUAAUUGAAAUAUACAAGGCAUUGGAGCAUUUUUCAGGGAUCUCAGCACACGCACUCUUAAAGAGAACGUCAUAGAACAACUUCAUGAUUGUCAUGUCUUUAUGCAACGACUACUUCCCUGACGCUCAUCCGAACUGGAAAUUGACGCCAGGCCACGUUAGAAAGACGUGGUUCAAAAUGUUCGCCAUAAGUUACUAUCAAUUAAUUAUAUAGACUUUUUUUUAUUACGACUUCUUAUUAUUUUUAAACUAAUUAUUAAUCUAGUUUUUUUCUUUUUACCGCAAAAAUAUCAUUGGUCCAUAGGGGUGAACGAGAGGGUGAAGAAAGCGUUUGAAGGGAAGGCGAAAGCUCGAUUGUUGGAGACGGUAUCUAUAGAUCCUAAAAUCUACACUAAGUAUUUGAUAGUGUUUGAUUGUAAAAACUAGGGAAGAAAUAACGUGGGCAACGAUAUCCUCAGAACACAACGAUAUAAUCAGGUCGGAGUCGUCGAAAAUGGACUAUAUUCGUAGGUCGAAUAUCAUAGAGAUAUCAGGAGAAGGAAGGAUCGUGACUGAACUCGGGAUCGAGCUGCCUACGUACCCGUCAAGGGAUCAAGUCAUAACGUGGUUCGAUUAUAAUCAUCUCGAAAAGAGAUGUCGGGUUUGUCAUUUCUUCGGAGGAGACGUCGGGUUCAUUCGUCUCUAAUAGACGUCGGGGGUUCAUCUCUUGUCACCCCGUAUGAGAUGUCGUUUGUGUACAAUCACUGAAUCUUGAGAAUAUAUAGAGGUUGAACCCUAAAUGUCUUUAAGGUUUGAUAUAGAUCAAUAAGGACAUGUCUUGUUCUUCAUAAUGAUCGGAGUUCGACGUCGCGAGAUCUUCACUAUGAAGACGUCAUGAUCCGUUUGCUUGGUGAUGGCUCACGAAGUGGCCUCUUGGUCGUUGCUUUUGUUAUCAAGUGGAGAGGAUUAUGGGAAAGGCACGUGUAGUCUCUUGUUCUUCUUCAGGUCC
Molecule: long non-coding RNA, 1381 nt
Filed under: Brassica napus (rape)
Lineage: Eukaryota; Viridiplantae; Streptophyta; Magnoliopsida; Brassicales; Brassicaceae
Description: long non-coding RNA (BNAP_LNC021039)
Source: RNAcentral